AGGAGGAAGAGGGGAAACUGCCUUGUAUGUGGGUCUUCUAGUGAUUCCUCCCCUACAUUUGGAAAGAACUCAAGAUGGACUUACUUGAAUUCUGCUUAAAGAUUAAGAUUAUAUUAAGUGGCCAUUUGCAAAAGACGAAUGGAUUGGAAGAUGGAAGAAUGAAAGAGCGAGCACAAGCAGGGGGAGCAGCAGAGGCAGAGGGGAGAAGCAGGCUUCCCGUGGAGCAGGGAGCCCAAUGUGGGGCUUGAUCCCAGGACCCCGGGAUCAUGACCUGAGCCGAAGGCAGAUACUUAACGACUGAGCCAGCCAGCUGCCCCUGUGUUCUUGACUUUAA
Zalophus californianus (California sea lion) is the source of this 334-nucleotide long non-coding RNA. RefSeq lists it as uncharacterized. The transcript has 3 exons. Lineage: Eukaryota; Metazoa; Chordata; Mammalia; Carnivora; Otariidae. The record is from RefSeq and is a predicted model, not a curated record.